UUGACGGGGCCCGCACAAGCGGUGGAGCAUGUGGUUUAAUUCGACGCAACGCGAAGAACCUUACCAGGUCUUGACAUCCCGAUGCUAUUUCUAGAGAUAGAAAGUUACUUCGGUACAUCGGUGACAGGUGGUGCAUGGUUGUCGUCAGCUCGUGUCGUGAGAUGUUGGGUUAAGUCCCGCAACGAGCGCAACCCCCGCCGUUAGUUGCCAGCGGUUCGGCCGGGCACUCUAACGGGACUGCCCGCGAAAGCGGGAGGAAGGAGGGGACGACGUCUGGUCAGCAUGGCCCUUACGGCCUGGGCGACACACGUGCUACAAUGCCCACUACAAAGCGAUGCCACCCGGCAACGGGGAGCUAAUCGCAAAAAGGUGGGCCCAGUUCGGAUUGGGGUCUGCAACCCGACCCCAUGAAGCCGGAAUCGCUAGUAAUCGCGGAUCAGCCAUGCCGCGGUGAAUACGUUCCCGGGCCUU
This 471-nucleotide ribosomal RNA is filed under the name uncultured Thermus sp. Its description in RNAcentral is "bacterial SSU rRNA". It matches the Rfam family "Bacterial small subunit ribosomal RNA", at positions 910 to 1382 of the family's 1533-position model. The record is from RNAcentral. Lineage: Bacteria; Thermotogati; Deinococcota; Deinococci; Thermales; Thermaceae.